UUUAAUCUCGUUUGCGGGGAAAGAAUAAAACUUGGGCUCGAACAACUCAUUUUUAGGCCUAAUUUUCGGACCUAGCCCAUAAUAACCCAAGCCCAAUACCUCUAAAAUCCUAGACUUAGACUAUAAAAGGACCCUAGACCUAACGCCUAAAAGGCGGGGGACAUAGAGAAAAACAAGAAAAGAAGAAAAAAAAACAGUGGGCAGCAGCAUCAUAAAAAGAAAAAACGCAGCUGCCUCAUGCGAGCAGCUGCUGCUGAUCUUCUUCCUCCCAAACAAACCCCUUCUUCUUCACAAAAUUCUCAGUUGCUCACCACCUCCAAACCACCACUAAACUCCAUUUUUAGCCAAGAAAGUAACCUGAAAACUCCAUGAACAUUAGUUAAAAUCUCCAGCAAAAACAUGUAGAGCACCAUUGUUAGCUGCCUCUUUGAAGUAAAAAAACAAUAGCUUUUUAGCUGCAAAAAUCACAAAAAAUAGCCUCCAAAACAGCAAAAAACGCAGCUAAAAUCUGCCAAAAAAUGCAGCAAAACUAGUUGUAAAGCUGGUGAAAAAAAGCCCCAAAAUGGUAGCUGAAAAUCUGCUCAAAUCAGUUGAAAAUAGCCCUUCGAAAUCAGCAAAUCAGCUGCGAAAAUGAUUAAAAAACACAACCAUGAAACUCCUCAAAAUCCCACCUGAAACCAACGACUUUUUCUCCACGAAGCCCUGCAGAUCUUAACCAAAAAUGGAGUAGAUCAAGUGAAAUCUUCUGAAGGUCCGUUCGAGUCCAGCUAAGGUCCUGUUCGCGUUUUCGUUUCUGGCCGUUUGUCGGGUUGUCAAUUUCCUCCUCAUUUUGUACAUUGCCGAAUGUUUGAGUCAAUUCUGGAAAGGAAAUUAUCAAAGGAUCUAUAUCAGGUACAUCUAAUGACCGAUGUGGUGUUGGUUCAGAGAAUGUAGCAAAUAGAGGUUCGUAUCACUAUCAGGUUAGAAUAAGAUUCGUUAUCUUUCUUUGGAGUGAAAAUUGACUCCCAGUUAUUUCCGUAAUAUUUAGGAGUUAGACUACGUAGAAGAGCCCCCCUGCAUGUUAUUGGAUCACAACCGAAUAUGUUGCUUUCAAAGUUGUCCCAAACUUUAAAUUUUAUGCUGCAAAAAGAUUUCAAUAUGAACCCCCUGGAUUCUGUUGCAAUAAAAGUUCAAUCAAGCUUACUUCACAUGAAAUGCCUAUAGAGCUACGAGAAUUAUUUUUGGGUGCUACUGAAGAGUCUGACCAUUUCCGAACAUAUGUUAGGACAUACAAUAACAUGUUUGCAUUUACUUCGCUCGGGGUAAAAUAUGACAAAGACUUAGCUAAGAGAAAUCAUGGUAUCUAUACAUUUAGAGUUCAAGGAAAAAUAUAUCACUUUAUAGAUGAUUUAUAUCCUGCGAAUGAGAAAGCAAGAAAUUUACAGUUAUACUUCUACGACAAUGAAAAUGAGGUAGCAAACAGAAUUGCUUGUUCAACUAGAGUACAUGAGUCAAUGAUCAGAAAAUUGAUGAAUAUACUACAAAAUAAUCCGUAUAGUGUUUUCUUGAAAUCUUUGGUAGAUGUUCCGGAAUUGUCGAACUUUUAUAUUGCGCUCAAAUGUGACUCAUGUUUAGAUCAACGAGUAUAUAACUUACCUACUGCAUCUGAAGUUGCAGCAAUAAUGGUGGAAGAAGGCGUUCAUAUUUCCAUACCUCACAUUCAAAUUUAUACUCACAGCAAUAAAAGCCAAUUAGUAAACUAUUACUAUGGAUGUUAUGAUCCCUUACAAUACCCACUAUUAUUUUCAUAUGGUCAAGAUGGGUGACACUGUGGUAUAAAGAAAAUAGUACAACCAUAGAAUACUACUAGAUGUCGUGUCUACUGUGAACAGGAAAAUUUAUCAAGUGUUGCAAACAUGUGUUUAAUUGACAAUUUUCUUGAUAUGGAAGCUCAGGUACUAGAACAACAAAGGAAAAAAGAAAUACUGUCUCUUGUCGUGAAUAUUAUUGUUAUAAAAUUUAAAUAAGAGAUGAUGAGACUGAUGAAAUCUUACAUAUUGGAAGGAUAUUCCAACAAUAUGUCGUAGAUGUAUUCAUAAAACUUGAAACACAACGACUAGACUUCUUCUCUUUCAAUCUAGACUUGUUUAGAAUUGAAGUUUUGCAAGGUAUUCUUGAUGUCUUAAGACAAGGUGAAAGAGAUGCUUCUAGAAUCGGAAAACAAACUUUCCUUCCUGUUACAUUUACGGGGGACCAAGAGAUAUGCGCCAGCGAUAUAUGGAUGCUAUUGCUUUGGUACAACAUUUUGGAACACCUGACUUAUUUCUAACGAUGACAUGCAACCCAUUAUGGCCAGAAAUAAAAGAACAUUUGUUAUCUACCGAUGAGGCACAAAAUAGACCUGACUUAAUUAGUCGAGUAUUUAGAGCAAAAUUGGAAGAGCUAAAAAUGAUAUAUUAAAAAGAAAUAUAUUUGGAAAGGUUGCUGCUUUUAUGUACACUGUAGAAUUCCAUAAACAUGGUCUUCCACAUGCACAUUUCCUUAUUAUUCUUGCUAAUGAAUACAAAUUGUUGACACCUGAGUCUUACGACACAGUUGUUUGUGCUGAAUUACCUGAUCGAGAUAAAGAGCCUUACUUAUACUCACUUAUUGUACAUCAUAUGACGCACGAUCCUUGUGGUCAUUUGAAUCUUGCAAAUUCAUGCAUGAAAAAUGGAUAUUGUAAAUUCAACUACCCUAAAGAUUUUGCUGAUCGAACAUCAAAAGGAAAAAAAAUCUUAUCUAAUUUACAAAAGACGAUAUACAGGUGAAGCAAUAAAAAUUAGAGAAAAAUUCCUCGAUAAUUCAUGGGUGGUAUCAUAUAAUCCUUUUUUACUUGACAAGUUUAACUGUCAUAUGAAUAUCGAGAUAUGCUUAGAUAUUAAAGUUGUCAAGUAUCUUUACAAGUACAUAUAUAAAAGGUCAUGACAAAAUUUAUUUUUCUGUACAUGACAAUGAUAAAGACAAAGAGAUUGAUGAAAUAAAAGAAUAUCAACCUGCUAGAUGGGUAUUUCCACCCGAAGCUACAUAGCAUUUAUUUGGUUUUUCUAUUAGUGAGAUGACACCAAGUGUUUAUCAUCUUCAAUUACACCUUGAAGGACAACAAUAUGUUUCUUUGAAAAGCACUGAGAGUAUAAAUGCAAUUUUAAAAAAACCUAUAAUUAGAAAAACAAUGUUGACAGAAAAUUUUGUCAUGAACCAAACAGAUGAUUAUGCUAUAGAACUUAAGCUACUAUAUAAAGCGUUUCCAGAAUACUUUGUCUGGUCAGUUACAGACAAGACAUGGACACGUCGAAAAUAACGUACCGUUAUUGGGCGCGUUGUGACAUGUCAUCCAACAGAAGGUGAGACAUAUUAUCUCAAACUAUUAUUACUGAAUGUGAGAGGACCAACAUCAUAUGAAGAUCUUCGUACUGUAAAUGGAAAAUGUUAUAUUACAUUUAGAGAGGCUGCUGAAAAAAGAGGAUUAUUACAUUCUGACAACAGUUUGGUUGACUGUAUGAUUGAAGCUGCAAGCUAUCAAUUGCCAUAUAGUUUAAGACGAUUAUUUGCUACGCUAUUGGUAUAUUGUACUCCUACUAAUCCAAAAGAGUUAUGAGAACAAUUUGAAGACUCAAUGUCCGAAGACUUCAAACGCUUGCCAAAUAAUGGAUUUAAAAAUAUUCAUCAUAGAGUCCUGAACCAGAUCAAUGAUGAACUACACUCGAUGGGACACGACAUUAACGAGUACAAGCUUGUUGCAGAAAACAUUAGAGCUUCUACAAUUGUAAAAGAGGUAAAAGAAGUUCAUUUUGAGAGAAGCCUAAGAGUUUCCUAAGAAGAUUUGUUAUUAGAAGUUCAUUAUACAGAUCAACGAAGAGCAUACAAUAUGAUUGUUGAUAGAAUAUUUUCCAACAAAUCGGGAGCUUUUUUAUUGACGGACUAGGAGGAACUGGUAAAACUUUCUUAUGUCGAAGUUUGUUGGCUACGGUAAGAUCUAAGGGAUUUGUAGCACUAGCAACUGCAACUUCUGGUGUUGCAGCUUCUAUUCUUCCUGGAGGGCGAACAACUCAUUCGCGCUUUAAGAUCCCUAUUGGUAUUGAUGAAAAUAUUGGUUGCAAUAUCAGUAAGCAAAGUUCACUUGCAUGUUUAAUUCGGGACGCAAAAUUAAUUGUAUGGGAUAAGGCAUCAAUGGCUAAACGGAAAAUGAUUGAAGCUUUUGAUUUACUUUUGAAGGAUCUAAUGGAUACUAAGAUGCUCUUUGGUGGAAAAGUAGUUGUUUUUGGAGGUGAUUUUAGACAAACUCUUCCAGUUGUUAGAAAUG
Non-coding RNA from Nicotiana tabacum (common tobacco), 4321 nucleotides. NCBI's taxonomy places the organism in Eukaryota, Viridiplantae, Streptophyta, Magnoliopsida, Solanales, Solanaceae. The record is from RefSeq and is a predicted model, not a curated record.